UACGGCUACCACAUCUAAGGAAGGCAGCAGGCGCGUAAAUUACCCAAUCCUGACUUAGGGAGGUAGUGACAAGAAAUAGCAAACCGGGAACCUCAUGGUUUCACGGUAUUGCAAUGAGAACAAUUUAAAACCCUUAGCGAGAAUCAAGUGGAGGACAAGUCUGGUGCCAGCACCCGCGGUAAUUCCAGCUCCACUAGCGUAUAUUAAAGUUGUUGCAGUUAAAAAGCUCGUAGUUGAACCUCUGUCUGGGGCUAGUUUUGGCUUUGGUCAGGCUAGUUCUAGGCAUCCGCCUACAAGACUUAGAGGGCAUUCAGUUGUUCACUAGGAGGAGUAGGCAUUUUACUUUGAAAAAAUUAGAGUGUUUAAGGCAGGCAAUCGCCCGCAUAUAUUAGCAUGGAAUAAUAGAAUAGGACACUUUUCCAUUUCGUUGGUUAUUGGAAUCGUGUAAUGAUUAAUAGGGACAGUUGUGGGCAUUUGUAUUUAAUUGUCAGAGGUGAAAUUCUUGGAUUUAUUAAAGACAAACUAACGCGAAAGCAUUUGCCAAGGAUGUUUUCAUUAAUCAAGAACGAAAGUUAGGGGAUCAAAGACGAUCAGAUACCGUCCUAGUCCUAACUAUAAACUAUUCCGACUCAAUGUUUGACUGGCUUAUAUAACCAGUUGAGCGUUGUAUGAGAAAUCAAAGUCUUUAGGUUCUGGGGGGAGUAUGGUUGCAAAGCUGAAACUUAAAGGAAUUGACGGAAGAGCACAACCAGGAGUGGAUUCUGCGGCUUAAUUUGACUCAACACGGGGAAACUUACCAGGUUAAAACAAUAGUGGGAUUGACAGUUUGAGGGCGCUUUCUUGAUUGGUUGGGUGGUGGUGCAUGGCCGUUCUUAGUUGGUGGAGUGAUUUGUCUGCUUAAUUGCGUUAACGAACGAGACCUUAACCUGCUUACUAGACUGGCGAUCAUCAAUCGUUAGCUCUUCUUAGAGGGACUUUGGUUGUUUUAACUCCAAGGAAGUUUGAGGCAAUAACAGGUCUGUGAUGCCCUUAGAUAUCCUGGGCCGCACGCGUCAUACAAUGACUAGUUCAGAAAGUUUUCUCCUGACCCGAAAGGGGAUGGGUAAUCUUGAUAAUACUAGUCGUGUUAGGGAUCGAUCUUUGCAAUUAUAGAUCUUGAACGAGGAAUUCCUAGUAAGUGCGGUUCAUCAGACCGUACUGAUUACGUCCCUGCUCUUUGUACACACCGCCCGUCGCUUCUACCGAGUGGGUGGUCCGGUGAGAUAAUUGAACUUCGCAGGUAACUGAGAGGAAAGAUUAUCAAACCUAUCCACCUCGAGGAAGAAGAAGUCGUAACAAGGUU
RNAcentral lists this ribosomal RNA (1342 nucleotides) under metagenome. RNAcentral describes it as "SSU rRNA". It matches the Rfam family "Eukaryotic small subunit ribosomal RNA", at positions 402 to 1801 of the family's 1831-position model. The record is from RNAcentral.